Molecule: ribosomal RNA, 253 nt
Filed under: uncultured bacterium
Lineage: Bacteria
Description: partial 16S ribosomal RNA
Rfam family: Bacterial small subunit ribosomal RNA
Source: RNAcentral
UACGUAGGGGGCAAGCGUUGUCCGGAAUCAUUGGGCGUAAAGAGCGUGUAGGCGGCUUCACAGGUCCGCUGUGAAAACUCGAGGCUCAACCUCGAGCUGUCGGUGGAAACCGUGUGGCUAGAGUCCGGAAGAGGAGAGUGGAAUUCCCGGUGUAGCGGUGAAAUGCGCAGAUAUCAGGAGGAACACCAAUGGCGAAGGCAGCUCGCUGGGACGGUACUGACGCUGAGACGCGAAAGCGUGGGGAGCAAACAGG